GAUGAACGCUGGCGGCGUGCCUAAUACAUGCAAGUCGAGCGAACAGACGAGGAGCUUGCUCCUCUGACGUUAGCGGCGGACGGGUGAGUAACACGUGGAUAACCUACCUAUAAGACUGGGAUAACUUCGGGAAACCGGAGCUAAUACCGGAUAAUAUAUUGAACCGCAUGGUUCAAUAGUGAAAGACGGUUUUGCUGUCACUUAUAGAUGGAUCCGCGCCGCAUUAGCUAGUUGGUAAGGUAACGGCUUACCAAGGCAACGAUGCGUAGCCGACCUGCGAGGGUGAUCGGCCACACGGGAACUGAGACACGGUCCAGACGCCUACGGGAGGCAGCAGUAGGGAAUCUGCCGCAAUGGGCGAAAGCCUGACGGAGCAACGCCGCGUGAGUGAUGAAGGUCUUCGGAUCGUAAAACUCUGUUAUUAGGGAAGAACAAAUGUGUAAGUAACUAUGCACGUCUUGACGGUACCUAAUCAGAAAGCCACGGCUAACUACGUG
RNAcentral lists this ribosomal RNA (497 nucleotides) under uncultured bacterium. Its description in RNAcentral is "partial 16S ribosomal RNA". It matches the Rfam family "Bacterial small subunit ribosomal RNA", at positions 28 to 507 of the family's 1533-position model. The record is from RNAcentral.